This 388-nucleotide ribosomal RNA is filed under the name uncultured bacterium. RNAcentral describes it as "bacterial SSU rRNA". It matches the Rfam family "Bacterial small subunit ribosomal RNA", at positions 28 to 417 of the family's 1533-position model. The record is from RNAcentral.
GACGAACGCUGGCGGCGUGCUUAACACAUGCAAGUCGAGCGGUAAGGCCCUUUCGGGGGUACACGAGCGGCGAACGGGUGAGUAACACGUGGGUGACCUGCCCUCAGCUCUGGGAUAAGCCUGAGAAACCGGGUCUAAUACCGGAUAUGACUCCAUGACGCAUGUUGUGGGGUGGAAAGCCUUGUGCGGCUGAGGAUGGGCCCGCGGCCUAUCAGCUUGUUGGUGGGGUGAUGGCCUACCAAGGCGACGACGGGUAGCCGGCCUGAGAGGGCGACCGGCCACACUGGGACUGAGACACGGCCCAGACUCCUACGGGAGGCAGCAGUGGGGAAUCUUGCGCAAUGGGCGAAAGCCUGACGCAGCGACGCCGCGUGAGGGAUGACGGCCU